Astyanax mexicanus (Mexican tetra) is the source of this 114-nucleotide regulatory RNA element. It matches the Rfam family "Potassium channel RNA editing signal". Rfam says of the family: This family represents a group of sequences related to the human potassium channel Kv1.1 hairpin element which directs the efficient modification of an adenosine to inosine by an adenosine deaminase acting on RNA (ADAR). Lineage: Eukaryota; Metazoa; Chordata; Actinopteri; Characiformes; Acestrorhamphidae. The record is from Rfam.
GUAGGCUAUGGAGACAUGGUCCCAGUGACUAUAGGCGGCAAAGUUGUAGGUUCCUUGUGUGCAAUCGCUGGUGUGCUGACCAUUGCCUUGCCGGUGCCCGUCAUCGUAUCCAAC